RNAcentral lists this ribosomal RNA (407 nucleotides) under uncultured Oscillospiraceae bacterium. RNAcentral's name for it is "bacterial SSU rRNA". It matches the Rfam family "Bacterial small subunit ribosomal RNA", at positions 355 to 776 of the family's 1533-position model. Lineage: Bacteria; Bacillati; Bacillota; Clostridia; Eubacteriales; Oscillospiraceae. The record is from RNAcentral.
UGGGGAAUAUUGGGCAAUGGGGGAAACCCUGACCCAGCAACGCCGCGUGAAGGAAGAAGGCUUUCGGGUUGUAAACUUCUUUGACGAGGGACGAAAAAAAUGACGGUACCUCGAAAACAAGCCACGGCUAACUACGUGCCAGCAGCCGCGGUAAUACGUAGGUGGCAAGCGUUGUCCGGAUUUACUGGGUGUAAAGGGCGCGUAGGCGGGACUGCAAGUCAGAUGUGAAAUGUGGGGGCUUAACCCUCAAGCUGCAUUUGAAACUGUGGUUCUUGAGUAUCGGAGAGGCAGGCGGAAUUCCUAGUGUAGCGGUGAAAUGCGUAGAUAUUAGGAGGAACACCAGUGGCGAAGGCGGCCUGCUGGACGACAACUGACGCUGAGGCGCGAAAGCGUGGGGAGCAAACAGG